AUGGGACUGGACACUUUGAGUGCCUUGGGAAAGCUCUUCUGCUCUUUGUCCUUUGGAAUACAGAGAAAACCAGCUAGAGCCCCAAAAUGGCUUUUAUUUGCACCUACCUGCUGCCUCUCCAUCUCUUCCAGCUGGCACAUUUGGGAGGUGCAAAGGGCUGAAAAACUGCUGAAGAAUUGCAUCUUCACUGCAUGGAGAAAUCCAGAGGUGCCUUGCAGGGACAUAAUCUAUACAGAGAAUAAUUUUAAAUUGUUCCCCAUGUGAAGAUGCCGAGGAGAAAAAGGCAGUACUAUGUGAUAUUGCUUCAAGUAUGUUCAUUGACCUGGUCAGAGAGGUGGAGCUGCUGGAUGACCAUGGUGUGAAUAACUACGGGA
Molecule: long non-coding RNA, 374 nt
Filed under: Zonotrichia albicollis (white-throated sparrow)
Lineage: Eukaryota; Metazoa; Chordata; Aves; Passeriformes; Passerellidae
Description: lncRNA (ENSZALG00000017218.1)
Source: RNAcentral